AUUGAACGCUGGCGGCAGGCCUAACACAUGCAAGUCGAGCGGAGAAACGGGGGUCGCUCUGGUGUUCAGUGGCGGACGGGUGAGUAAUGCCUAGGAACAUGCCCGGUAGUGGGGGCUAAGGUAGCGAAAGGGACGCUAAUCCCGCAUACGAUCUGAGGAUGAAAGGGGGGGAUCUUCGGACCUCGCGCGAUCGGAUGGGCCUAGGUCGGAUUAGCUAGUUGGUGGGGUAAAGGCCUACCAAGCCGACGAUCCGUAGCUGGUCUGAGAGGAUGACCAGCCACACUGGAACUGAGACACGGUCCAGACUCCUACGGGAGGCAGCAGUGGGGAAUAUUGGACAAUGGGCGAAAGCCUGAUCCAGCCAUGCCGCGUGUGUGAUGAAGGUCUUCGGAUUGUAAAGCACUUUUAUUUGGGAGGAAGAGAAGUUAGUUAAUACCUUGCUGUCUUGACGUUACCAAAAGAAUAAGCACCGGCUAACUACGUG
This 484-nucleotide ribosomal RNA is filed under the name uncultured bacterium. RNAcentral's name for it is "partial 16S ribosomal RNA". It matches the Rfam family "Bacterial small subunit ribosomal RNA", at positions 30 to 507 of the family's 1533-position model. The record is from RNAcentral.